RNAcentral lists this ribosomal RNA (410 nucleotides) under uncultured microorganism. RNAcentral's name for it is "bacterial SSU rRNA". It matches the Rfam family "Archaeal small subunit ribosomal RNA", at positions 330 to 735 of the family's 1478-position model. The record is from RNAcentral.
GUGCAGCAGUCGCGAAAACUUCACACUGUGCGAAAGCACGAUGAGGGAAUCCCAAGUGCUUGCACGUAAGUGUAAGCUGUUUCUCUGUCUAAAACGCAGAGAGAGUAAGGGCUGGGUAAGACGGGUGCCAGCCGCCGCGGGUAAUACCUGCAGCUCAAGUGGUGACCGUUAUUAUUGGGCCUAAAACGUCCGUAGCCGGUUUAAUAAAUGCCUGGGUAAAAUUGUGUAGCUUAACUAUACGAAUUCCGGGUAGACUGUUAAACUUGAGACCGGGAGAAGUUAGAGGUACUCCUGGGGUAGAGGUGAAAAUUCUGUAAUCCUAGGGGGACCACCAGUGGCGAAGGCGUCUAACUAGAACGGGUCUGACGGUGAGGGGACGAAGCCCCUGGGGGCGCGAAAACGGGGAUUUA